RNAcentral lists this long non-coding RNA (1494 nucleotides) under Macaca fascicularis (crab-eating macaque). RNAcentral describes it as "lncRNA (ENSMFAG00000057635.1)". The record is from RNAcentral. Lineage: Eukaryota; Metazoa; Chordata; Mammalia; Primates; Cercopithecidae.
UAUGGGUGCCGGGGUCGGGGUGAGGAUACCCACCUGCCCAAAGGAUAAGGAAGAUGCACCAAGUCAUGCAGGGUGGACCAUCUCAGCUCCAGGGACCCCUUAGAUCAGAGCACAGCUUUGCCCCUCACUGUACCUAUAACUAAUUCUGUAAUCUCAGAAAAAUUGCUCAGCUUCCCCGAGAAUUAGUUGCUUUAUCCAUAAAAUAGGCAUAAUAACAUAUUUCUGGGUCAUGAAGGAUUAAAUUAACCAAUGAAUAAAGAGAGACUUGUGAACUACAAAGAGCUAGCCAAAUCCAAGGUAUAUUUUCCAAGAAGUAGAGAAUUCAGGCAACUUGCAAAGCAGUCUAGAGCUGGACUGGGCUGGAAAGAGAUAUCCAUACCUAGGGUUGCCAUGUGUAGUUGUUCAGGUUGUAUACUGCACAAAUGUAGGGAUGACUUUCACAUUCGUAGUAUGAAGGAUAUGUAUAUUUAACAUGACACUUUCCUGCAGAUGCCUUAAAAUGUCUAUGGAAAGGAUGAUGUAUUCAUAUUCCUAAGAAAAUAUUGAACAAACUCAUGGUGAAGUUCUCUGUCCAUAUCCUAUUUUGUAAGAUGAAAGAAACUAAACCUCAAAACUGAACUCUCUUCUACAUGGGUUGUAACAUUGAAUCACAGUUCUGUAUCUUAAUUGUUCUGUGACUUACAUAUAGGGCUGGAGGCCAGAAAAAAAAUCAUCAACUUUUAAAAAUGCAUCAAUUAACUUUAGAUUGACCCAGAACAAAACUGUCAGUUGACUGUAGUGGGCCAAACCAGGUACAAUGUAUCUUACUAGAAAUACAGAAAUUUACAAACAUUUGAACUGACAUUUUAAAACUAGGAGACUUCACAUAAGAUUCAGCUUUCCAGCCUCUCUUUAAAAUAUGGGAGACCUGGCUCACUGGGCCACCUUUUAGAGGAGCAGGAAGGAGCUCCCCAGCCCUGCGGGCAUCUGAGUGGCAGCACUGCAGGGAACUGAAAUACCAUUGUCCUAAGCUGUUCCAGGAGGCACUGGGGUCUGGUCAACCCCUGAUGCCCAGCAGCGAGCUCCAGAGACCCGUCUCCCCGCAGGAUGGAGGUCAGAAGCUGCCGCCAAGCACAUGAACCACCUUGGCUUCCCUCUGUGCACCCUCUCCACUUCCUAACUUCCCUAGCUUGGAAACAAUGAGGAAAAGGCUGGGCGCGGUGGCUCAUGCCUGUAAUCCUGGCACUUUGGGAGGCCGAGGUGGGCAGAUCACCUGAGAUCAGGAGUUCGAGACCAGCCUGACGAAUAUGGUGAAACUCCAUUUUUACUAAAAAUACAAAAAUUAGCUGGGUGUGGUGGUGGGCGCCUAUAAUCCCAGCUACAUGGGAGGCUGAGGCAAGAGAAUCACUUGAACCCGGGAGAUGGAGGUUGCAGUGAGUCGAGAUCACACCAUUGUACUCCAGCCUGGGUGAUGGAGAAAGACUCUGUCUCAAAAAAAAAAAAGAAAAAGAAAAA